CGCUGAACUGAAACAUCUAAGUAGGCGGAGGAGAAGAAAACAAAAGUGAUUCCCAGAGUAGUGGCGAGCGAAAUGGGAGGAGCCCAAACCUGUAUUGUUUCGGCAAUGCAGGGGUUGUAGGACUGCGAUAUUUGCUGUUUAUCGAAUUAGAACACCUUGGAAAAGCGUGACCAUAGAGGGUGAUAGUCCCGUAUAGGUAAGAUAAAUAAGUAAUAGCAGUAUCCUGAGUAGGGCGGGGCACGUGGAACCCUGUCUGAAUUUGCCGGGACCAUCCGGUAAGGCUAAAUACUCCUGAGAGACCGAUAGUGGACUAGUACCGUGAGGGAAAGGUGAAAAGCACCGUGAAUAACGGAGUGAAAUAGACCCUGAAACCAUACGCUUACAAGCGGUCGGAGCAGCAUUAGCUGUGACGGCGUGCCUUUUGCAUAAUGAGCCUACGAGUUACUGUUACCAGCGAGGAUAAGUAUUUCAGAUACGAAUCCGCAGCGAAAGCGAGUCUGAAUAGGGCGGUAAUAGUUGGUAGUAGUAGACGCGAAACCUGGUGAUCUACCCUUGGGCAGGUUGAAGCACUGGUAACACAGUGUGGAGGACCGAACUGGUUGUCGUUGAAAAGACUUCGGAUGACCUGAGGGUAGGGGUGAAAGGCCAAUCAAACUGGGAAAUAGCUCGUACUCCCCGAAAUGCAUUUAGGUGCAGCGUUGUAAUAAAGUUUAAUAGAGGUAGAGCUACUGAUUGGAUGCGGGGGUUUCACCGCCUACCAAUUCCUGACAAACUCCGAAUGCUAUUAAAUGCUUUACAGCAGUGAGGGCUUGGGUGCUAAGGUCCAAGUCCGAGAGGGAAAGAACCCGGACCAUCAGCUAAGGUCCCCAAAUAUAUGCUAAGUUGACCAAACGCGGUCUGACUGCACUGACAGCUAGGAUGUUGGCUUGGAAGCAGCCAUACAUUUAAAGAGUGCGUAACAGCUCACUAGUCGAGCGGUUGGGCAUGGAUAAUAAACGGGCAUAAGCAUAUUACCGAAGCUAUGGGGUUAUUACUUAAGUAAUAUACCGGUAGGGGAGCAUUCUAUAGGCGUUGAAGCUAAAGGCGUGAGCCAUAGUGGAGCCUGAUAGAAAAGAAAAUGUAGGCAUAAGUAACGAUAAGGCAGGCGAGAAACCUGCCCGCCGAAAGAUCAAGGUUUCCUCAGCUAUGCUAAUCAGCUGAGGGUUAGUCGGGGACUAACGCGAACCCUUUCAGGGGAAGUGGAUGUACAACGGGUUAAUAUUCCCGUACUAGUAUUUCAAUAAAAGUGACGGAAUGAGAUAUACACUGCGCACAGACGGAGUUGCGUUGAAGGGACUGUUAUGGUUCUGAUAGUACGCUGAGGCCACGGCCGAGGUGAUAAUGUGUAGACAACGUUUCCAAGAAAAGCGAGAGAUACUACCCGUACCGUAAACCGACACAGGUGAUUGGGAAGAGAAUUCUAAGGCGCUCGAGAGAUUCAUGGCUAAGGAACUAGGCAAAAUAGACCUGUAACUUCGGGAGAAAGGUCGCCUAUCGUAAGAUAGGCCGCAGUGAAAAGGUCCAAGCGACUGUUUAUCAAAAACACAGGACUCUGCAAAAUCGAAAGAUGAGGUAUAGGGUCUGACACCUGCCCGGUGCUGGAAGGUUAAGAGGAGGGCUUAGCGUAAGCGAAGGUCUGAAUUGAAGCCCCAGUAAACGGCGGCCGUAACUAUAACGGUCCUAAGGUAGCGAAAUUCCUUGUCGGGUAAGUUCCGACCUGCACGAAUGGUGUAACGAUUUGGACACUGUCUCGGCCAUGAGCUCGGUGAAAUUGUAGUAUCGGUGAAGAUGCCGAUUACCCGCAGUGGGACGAAAAGACCCUGUGCACCUUUACUAUAUCUUCGUAUUGGUCUUGGAUAAGUGAUGCGUAGGAUAGGUGGGAGACUAAGAAGCGGCUAUUCCGGUAGUUGUGGAGUCAUUGUUGAAAUACCACCCUUUGCUUAUCUGAGGUCUAACUUUGCACAAGGCAAAGGACAAUUCGUGGAGGGUAGUUUGACUGGGGUGGUCGCCUCCAAAAGUGUAACGGAGGCUUCUAAAGGU
RNAcentral lists this ribosomal RNA (2079 nucleotides) under human metagenome. Its description in RNAcentral is "bacterial LSU rRNA". It matches the Rfam family "Bacterial large subunit ribosomal RNA", at positions 186 to 2317 of the family's 2925-position model. The record is from RNAcentral.